UGGGGAAUCUUGGACAAUGGACGAAAGUCUGAUCCAGCAACGCCGCGUGAGCGAUGAAGGCCUUCGGGUCGUAAAGCUCUGUCAGAUGGAACGAAAGAAGCUAACCUAACACGCUAGCUGUUGACGGUACCAUCAAAGGAAGCACCGGCUAACUCUGUGCCAGCAGCCGCGGUAAGACAGAGGGUGCAAGCGUUGUUCGGAAUUACUGGGCGUAAAGCGCGCGUAGGUGGUUUUGUGUGUCUGGCGUGAAAUCCCUUGGCUCAACCAAGGAAGUGCACCAGAAACUGCAGAACUCGAGUUCGGGAGAGGAUGGUGGAAUUCUCAAUGUAGAGGUGAAAUUCGUAGAUAUUGGGAGGAACACCGGUGGCGAAGGCGACCAUCUGGACCGACACUGACACUGAUGUGCGAAAGCGUGGGUAGCAAACAG
This 427-nucleotide ribosomal RNA is filed under the name uncultured bacterium. Its description in RNAcentral is "bacterial SSU rRNA". It matches the Rfam family "Bacterial small subunit ribosomal RNA", at positions 355 to 775 of the family's 1533-position model. The record is from RNAcentral.